Molecule: long non-coding RNA, 775 nt
Filed under: Capsella rubella
Lineage: Eukaryota; Viridiplantae; Streptophyta; Magnoliopsida; Brassicales; Brassicaceae
Description: long non-coding RNA (CRUB_LNC004905)
Source: RNAcentral
UUUUUAAAUAACUUAAUAUUUUUUACAUAUUCUACCCACUUUUUAUUUCCCCCUAUUGUUUUUAACUUUUUAUCCAUUCUAAACAAAGAAUUUUACCCAUUCUAAACAAUUUCUCCAUGAAACUAUUUAAAAAAAAAAAACAAAUUGCCAAGUCAAAAAGAAAUUCACAAAAACACCAACAUGGACCAAAAAGGCCCAUUAACAAAAUCUAUUACAACAAAGAAUUUAAGAAAAAGUAACCCAAAAAGUUCACAAAAGGCAAACAAAUGUUGAAAAUUCCCGUGUCCCUCACACACAUUUAAUCCAACGGUUCUCCUUCCUCCUCCUUUCCCGAUCAUCGCUCCCCACUCACUCAAAUUUAUUAAAAAUCCAAAAAAUCAAAAAUUCACAAUUCGUAAAAAAAAAAAAAAAAAAUCACAAACCUCUAUCUCUCUCUCGUCUCUCUCAGAUCUGAAUCCUCCGUUUCACCAUCUCCGAUCUCUCUAAUGGCGACACCACCACCACCAGCAUCAUCCUCAUCACCGAGGGAAGAGUUCGUCUACCUCGCGAAACUCGCUGAACAAGCGGAGCGUUACGAAGAAAUGGUCGAAUUCAUGGAAAAAGUCGCCGAAGCCGUCGACAAAGACGAACUCACCGUCGAGGAACGUAACCUCCUCUCCGUCGCUUACAAAAACGUGAUCGGAGCUCGUCGUGCUUCGUGGCGUAUCAUCUCUUCGAUCGAACAGAAAGAAGAGAGCCGUGGUAACGAUGACCAUGUCGCAACGAUCCGUGAUUA